GAAUAGUUGUUUUCUUCUCCUGAAGAGAACUGGAAAGACGGAGCAAUCUGUCACUUGGGGAUGGGCCUGCGGCGCAUUAGCUAGUUGGUGGGGUAACGGCUCACCAAGGCGACGAUGCGUAGCCGACCUGAGAGGGUGAUCGGCCACACUGGGACUGAGACACGGCCCAGACUCCUACGGGAGGCAGCAGUAGGGAAUCUUCCGCAAUGGGCGAAAGCCUGACGGAGCAAUGCCGCGUGAGUGAUGAAGGUUUUCGGAUCGUAAAGCUCUGUUGCCAGGGAAGAACGCUUGGGAGAGUAACUGCUCUCAAGGUGACGGUACCUGAGAAGAAAGCCCCGGCUAACUACGUGCCAGCAGCCGCGGUAAUACGUAGGGGGCAAGCGUUGUCCGGAAUUAUUGGGCGUAAAGCGCGCGCAGGCGGUCAUUUAAGU
Molecule: ribosomal RNA, 431 nt
Filed under: Paenibacillus sp.
Lineage: Bacteria; Bacillati; Bacillota; Bacilli; Caryophanales; Paenibacillaceae
Description: bacterial SSU rRNA
Rfam family: Bacterial small subunit ribosomal RNA
Source: RNAcentral